RNAcentral lists this ribosomal RNA (3813 nucleotides) under Triticum aestivum (bread wheat). RNAcentral describes it as "partial small subunit ribosomal RNA". The record is from RNAcentral. Lineage: Eukaryota; Viridiplantae; Streptophyta; Magnoliopsida; Poales; Poaceae.
AUGGCAGAGCUCGUGGCCACCAUGGUGGUCGGGCCAUUGCUCUCAGUCGUGAAGGACAAGGUGUCCAGCUACCUGCUUGACCAGUACAAGGUGAUGGAGGGCAUGGAGGAGCAGCACAGGGUGCUCAAGCGCAAGCUGCCGGCCAUCUUGGACGUCAUUGAUGACGCCGAGCAGACCGCGUCCCACAGAGAAGGGGCCAAGGCUUGGCUCGAGGAGGUCAAGAGGGUGGCCUACGAGGCUAACGGGCUCUUCGACGAGUUCAACUACGAGGCGCUCCGCCGCGAGGCCAGGAAGAACGGGCACUAUGGCGAGCUCGGCUUCAAUGCAGUAAAGCUCCUCACCACCCACAACCGUUUUACGUUCCGCGACAGGAUGGGGAAGAAGCUGUGCAGGAUUGUGCAGGCCAUCGAAGUCCUUGUGGCUGAGAUGAACGCCUUUGGGUUUAAGUAUCAGCAGCAAGCACCAGAGUCCAUGCGGUGGAGGCAGAUGGACCAUGUUAUCUUCGAUCCGAAGAAAAUCAUCAGCAGAUCGAGAAGCCGAGACACUAAGAAUAUUGUUGGUACAUUACUUGGUCAAGCCAACAAUGCGGAUCUCUCGGUCAUUCCCAUCGCUGGAGUAGGGGGCCUAGGCAAGACCACCUUGGCGCAGCUAAUUUACAAUGAACCUGAAAUUCAGAAGCAUUUCGAGUUGCUGAUCUGGGUUUGUGUCUCUGACAGCUUUGAUGUGGAUUCCCUGGCUAAAAGAAUAGUUGCAUUUCAUCUAGAAAAAGAUGUAGUUGAAGCAGCAGCUUCCAAGAAAAGCCCACUGGAUAGUCUUCAAGACGUACUAAGCGGGCAUAGGUACCUCCUUGUAUUGGAUGACGUCUGGAACCGAGAAAGUGAUAAGUGGGAAAAGCUCAAGGACCGCCUUACACAUGGUGCCAACGGCAGUGUGGUUCUGACAACUACUCGUGAUGAAGGAGUCGCAAAAAUAAUGGGUACAGUUAAACCCUAUAAUCUCGCAGCUUUGGAGGAUAACUUCAUAAAGGAAAUUAUCGAGACAAGAGCAUUCAGUUUGCAGAAGGAAGAAGAAAGGCUUGCUGUGCUAGUUAAUAUGGUUGAUGAGAUCGUGAAGAGAUGCCGUGGCUCUCCUUUGGCCGCAACAGCGCUGGGCUCUGUGCUGCGUACAAAGACAAGUGAAGAAGAAUGGAAGGCUAUAUCAAGCAGAAGCAACAUUUGCACCGAGGAGUCUGGAAUUUUACCAAUACUCAAGCUCAGCUACAAUGACUUGUCAUCACAAAUGAAGCAAUGCUUUGCUUUCUGUGCUGUUUUCCCCAAGGAUUACGAGAUUGAUGUAGACAAACUGAUCCAACUAUGGAUAGCACAUGGCUUCAUCCAGGACCACAAAGAAGUUAGUCCUGAAACCAUUGGCAACCGGAUUUUCAGCGAGUUGGCCUCAAGUUCAUUCUUUGUGGAUGUGAAGCAAUUAAAAGCCACAUCCUAUGAACGCAUGGUGGGGGGUAGUUAUUACAAACGUACAUGUAAAAUCCAUGAUCUUAUGCAUGAUGUUGCGCUGUCUACAAUGGAGAAUGAAUGUGGUUUUGCACCCAAGGAACCAAAUCGGAUUGAGUGGCUUCCAGAUACAGCUCGCCACUUACUUUUGUCUUGUGAAAAACCAGAAAUUGUUUUGAAUGGUUCUCUGGCAAGAAAAUCUCCAGCUAUUCAGACACUCCUGUGUGAUAGUUAUAUGGAAUACCCACUGCAGCAUUUAUCAAAAUAUAGCACUUUGAAGGCAUUACAGCUCCAUACGCGGAGAAGUCCAUUCCCCUUCAAAUCAAAGCAUCUUCAUCACCUAAGGUACCUUGAUCUCUCAAGAAGUGAUUUUGAAGCACUUCCUGAAGAUAUAAGCAUUCUAUAUAACCUGCAAACAUUGAAAAUCUCUGGCUGUCAAGAACUGCGUCGGUUUCCAAGACAAAUGAAGUAUAUGACUGCUCUCCGUCACCUCUACACUCAUGGUUGUCCAAAGAUGAGGAGCAUGCCUGGUGACCUCCGGAAACUCAUGUCCCUACAGACGCUUACGUGUUUUGUAGCAGGCCGUACUGGCUCUAAGUGCAGCAAUGUUGGAGAGUUGCAGCAUUUAAAUCUUGGUGGUCAGCUAGAGCUAAAACAGCUAGAGAAUGUGACAGAAGAAGAUGCAAAAGCAGCAAAUCUUGGAAAGAAGAAGGAACUCCGAGAACUGACAUUAAAAUGGACUGUUGGUUCUAGGGAUGAUGCAAGGGUGCUCGAGUGUGUCAAGCCUCAUCAUGGCCUGCAGUCUCUAAGGAUAGAAUCCUACGGAGGCACCACAUUUCCAACAUGGAUGGCUAUGUCGCGAAACAUGGUUGAAAUCCAUCUCUCCUAUUGUAAAAACCUACAAUGGCUAUUCAGUUCUGGUGCAUCCUUCAGUUUUCCAAAUCUGAAGGAGUUUACACUUCGAGGUCUGGAAUGUUUGGAGGGAUGGUGGGAAUCAAGUAACAAGGAACAAGGAAAAGAGGUAAUAUUUCCUCAGCUUGAGAAGUUGCAUAUUCUUGACUGUGCAAAGCUGACAACAUUGCCAGCAACACUGCUUGGAGAAUCUCACGGUAGAAUGGCACGCUCAGCAUUUCCUACAUUGAAGGUUCUCGAAUUGAGAUACUUGAGGAGCUUUGAGAGAUGGGAUGCAGUCGAAGGACCUCAAGGAGCAGAGAUAAUGUUUCCUCAGCUUGAGGAGUUGUAUGUUGCACACUGUGGAAUGAUCAAAGCAUCAUCGGGACAACAAAAGGUUUGUCCAAAGCUGACAAUAAAAGCUGAAUCACCAAAGCUACGUGUUUUAGAGAUGCAGGGCAGUGAGGAAGAGAUGUUCCUGUGGAUAGCUAGACAUGUGACUUCACUGACCAAUCUGAAGCUGCAGAACUGUGAAGGCUCGGAAACAACCUCGGCAGCAGCGGCUGAUAUUAGUUUGAGACAAGCGAUGAGUGCCAUGGAGAAAUGGAACCGUCACGAUUUCCCUCUGGCAGACAUGGAGUUAAUUGGCUUUAAGUCAGGCAUAACCAAGCUAUGUGCAUGCUUUGUACAGCUCCAACGCUUGUGCAUCAAUGAUUGUGCCGCACUUGUCCACUGGCCAGAGAAAGAGUUCCAAAGCUUGCUAUCCUUGAGGAGUCUAAACAUUAUGUCCUGCGGACAACUGGUUGGAUACGCAGCCGAGCCAUCAACAACAACAUCAGAAUCCUCGAGUCAGCUCCUGCCACGCCUGGAGUCUCUCAAGAUAUAUGGCUGUACGAGCAUGGUAGAGGUCUUCAGACUCCCCGCGUCCCUGAGGAAGAUGACGAUUCGCGAUUGCGCGAAGCUCAGGUCCAUAUUCAGCAGCAGGAUGCCACAGCAGGGACAGCCAUCAGCAUCGGCCAUUGUUCAAGGCUCACCACCUGUAUAUUCGGAGGUGCUCCCAUGCUUAGAAGAGAUAGAUAUACGGGGGUGCGACGGAUUAACAGGGGGCCUUGAUCUUCCCCCGUCCCUCAAGCACGUAAGCGUCUAUCGGUGCAGUGGGUUGAGGUCAGUGGAAUCUCACUCGGGAGAGUUCCCGUCGCUGGAGAGCCUCUCCAUCGGGCUCUGUGAGACCCUGUCAUCCCUACCGGAUGGCCCACGAGCAUACCCGUCUCUCAGAAUGCUCAAGGUCUACGACUGUCCGGGUAUGAAGAGGCUCCCUGCUUGCCUGCAGCAACGCUUAGGUAGCCUCGAGGGGAUAACUCUAGAUGCCCAUCAUCAAGGACCUAUUCUGUCGAAGCCCAAGACAUGGAUAAAUGGCCUCUGUAGAGGUUAG